RNAcentral lists this ribosomal RNA (722 nucleotides) under uncultured Fusobacterium sp. Its description in RNAcentral is "bacterial SSU rRNA". It matches the Rfam family "Bacterial small subunit ribosomal RNA", at positions 28 to 776 of the family's 1533-position model. The record is from RNAcentral. Lineage: Bacteria; Fusobacteriati; Fusobacteriota; Fusobacteriia; Fusobacteriales; Fusobacteriaceae.
GAUGAACGCUGACAGAAUGCUUAACACAUGCAAGUCAACUUGAACUUCGGUUUGGGUGGCGGACGGGUGAGUAACGCGUAAAGAACUUGCCUCACAGAUAGGGACAACAUUUGGAAACGAAUGCUAAUACCUGAUAUUAUGAUUUUAGGGCAUCCUAGAAUUAUGAAAGCUAUAUGCGCUGUGAGAGAGCUUUGCGUCCCAUUAGCUAGUUGGAGAGGUAACGGCUCACCAAGGCGAUGAUGGGUAGCCGGCCUGAGAGGGUGAUCGGCCGCAAGGGGACUGAGACACGGCCCUUACUCCUACGGGAGGCAGCAGUGGGGAAUAUUGGACAAUGGACCAAGAGUCUGAUCCAGCAAUUCUGUGUGCACGAUGAAGUUUUUCGGAAUGUAAAGUGCUUUCAGUUGGGAAGAAAAAAAUGACGGUACCAACAGAAGAAGUGACGGCUAAAUACGUGCCAGCAGCCGCGGUAAUACGUAUGUCACAAGCGUUAUCCGGAUUUAUUGGGCGUAAAGCGCGUCUAGGUGGUUAUGUAAGUCUGAUGUGAAAAUGCAGGGCUCAACUCUGUAUUGCGUUGGAAACUGUGUAACUAGAGUACUGGAGAGGUAAGCGGAACUACAAGUGUAGAGGUGAAAUUCGUAGAUAUUUGUAGGAAUGCCGAUGGGGAAGCCAGCUUACUGGACAGAUACUGACGCUGAAGCGCGAAAGCGUGGGUAGCAAACAGG